ACUCAUAACAACCCGGGACUUGCCAGCCCAGUUGAUGGAGAUGCCCAAAGACAGGUGAACUCUCUGAGGGCUUAAGAGACCUUCAGUCUCAGCUGUUUCUUCUCCAAGGUUCCAGAGAAUUUUCAAGGAGAGACAGUUGGCAGGAGAGCCCAUGACUGCUGAUGUACAAAGCACCUUAAAGCAGAAGGAGUGCCAUGGCCGGUGGCUGCCCAGGCGGGCUGUUCAUUAUUAGCUCAGGUUCCCCACACUUGUAAAUUAGCAUUUCAACAUCGAGCCCCUUCAUUCUGCUUAAAUAUUUGUUUUUCUAGUUUCUUUGGAAAGAAGGGAGAGCUAUCCCGUCCACCCCCAAGGCCAGACCACAUUGGGGCUGUGGGGCAGCUGCCCCUUGAGUGGGAUGUCCCCAGCUCCGCCCCUCUCCAUGCUGCCUGUGCACUGCUCCAAGCAGCAGGACUGACCUGCAUGCUUUCUAGGUCCACCUGGACCUUUUCAUGAUGAUCCAAAGGCUGACAUGAAACAUGACCAUGACCAAGGUUUUAGCCAGAGCCUGGUCUCGACCAUGACCCGCGCAGAUGGGACAAACUGGGUUUAAACAGGCUGGCUGCAACAUUAAGCUAAGAAGGUGGUUGUGAAAAAUCACAUGGCACAGAAAGCAGUAUCCAGAAAGCAGGGCAGGACAGCUCUUUGACUUUCAGGGUCAAGCUUGUAGGCUGGAGCAUGAGCCUGCGUUUGAUUUAUUUUAUAACAGGGAUAGGGAUUCAAGGGCGAGGUCUUGCUUCAUGGUGUCCUGUGGUCAGCAGAUUGAUUGGUAUCUUUGCAGGUCACUCCCAUCUCAGGUGCUGUGUGGGAUCUUAGGCAGAGCUUGAAGGGAAGGUUUACCUGCAUCAAGUGAUCAAUCCCCGAGGGGGUGCUACAGGGAGUUGGCAAUGCCAGACCUAUCCCCUCACUUGGCUACUAUGCGCAACAGUCCACACACAGCUCAUGGAUGGCUCGUGACAGCCUGGAAAUGCCAUGGCUCCCACACACCUGCUCUUCUGAGUGGAAGAGAGUUGGCCAUUGCUUGCUGGGAGUCAGAAGCCAGUAUCCUUCAGUUACUGAGGCCUUCUGUGGGCCAGCACCAGGUGGGACUUUACUGUUUUUUACUUCUCCAAACUCCAAGCUUACAGAUGAAAGAAGGAGACCUGGUGAAGUUACCAGUGACCUCAGUGACCGAGUGCACUGAGAUUCCUGUGCCCUGCACUGCGUCCUCUUUGGGUUUCCCAUUCAGGCCUCACAGCUGCCCUACAGUGUGAACACCAUUAUGCUUUCUGUUUUGCAGACAAGGAAACUGAGGCAAGUUAGAGGGAAGUUAGAGAACCUUGGCAGAGGUCUAGAGCAAGAAGAGGUCAAACCAGAACUUGUCCUGGGAAACUAGUUGAGAGCCUGUGCCACUCUGUGAGUGGCAGGGAGGACUCGAGCUGAAUGGAGCGUGCUCAGCAGUGAGCCCAGAUCUCAGUCACUCUGUCCUGUUGGCAUGUGGGCUGGUCUCCCUCAGCCAUGCACAGCUUCCUCAGGCAAAAUGCAUCCAGGUCUCCGGAGAAUGCCCUGGAUUUGUACCUGCUCCCCGUUCUCAGCCCACCCCCUGAUGCCUUCACCUCCAUUCCACACUCUUGCCUGAUUUUCUUCCUGUAAGUUCUGUUUUUUUUUUGAGUUCUGUGUCCUGUCCUCUCUGAAGCCACCUGGGACUCACCCAUUCACAGAUGCCCAUAUCUGGUGCCAACUUGACAUAGUGGAUUAGGAUCGUUUGAGAAACGUAGAGAAUUGGUUGUAGCAUCACCAGAUGCGCCUGCCUGUCUCUGAGCUCCUGUAAAGGAAGACUUUCCUCUCACUCGUUUGCUGUCCUUGGGACCCAACACAGUGUCUGUCACAUAGUUGGUGCUUAGUUACUGAUGGCAUUUUACAGGUUCCUCUGCUUGGAUUUCUGCCCAGAUGCCUGUCUUGUGGGUGGGGCGAUCUGGGAGCCAUGGCUCCUGGUUGGUCACGGUUGGACGCGCUUCCUGUACCUGUGUGUGAGAUGCUGAGCACCUAUGGGCCACUCAGUCGUCCCCUCACAGCCGUGGGGCGCACAUGCACAGAUCCAUGUGCCCACUCUCCCGGAGCUGAGGCCACCUGCUCCCCUUCUCUCCCUCGCACCAUCUCUUAGACCUGAGUAGAGAAAUGAGGACAGGCGGAAGAGUGAGAAGCUCCUCGGGGUCUGGCAGGUUGGGUUAGCCUGGCAAGUGGAGGGCUGACUCUGGGAUAAGGCUCAGGGAAUCUCUGGGAUACCAAGUGACCACAGAUGUUGUUCCCCCAAGACAGGAGGCUGGGAGCAGUAGAAAGAAAGAGGGCCACUGUUUGUGCUGGGACGUGAGGUAACUGUGCAGUCAGGAGACUGAGAGCUGGAAAUGGCGUGGCCUCUGGAGCUGGCCUUUCUAAGUAGCUCUGCUGUGAUAAAGCGACCAAACACGCCUCAGCCCACCUGGCCAGGGCUGGUGGGGCUGCUCUGCUCCCUGGGAGAUGAGACUCUGGUGUCAGGUAACCUGCUGUUCCGCUCUGAUUUUAUUCUGUGAUUUCUGGGUACCUUAAUCUAGGUUCUCACUCUAAGUCUCAUGUUUUAAAUUUACAAGACGGGGCUCUAACAAUACCUUACAAGAGUAUUAAGAAGACCAAGAUGAAACAGGAAGGUGAGUUGAAAUACGUAAAUGGAGGCCAAUGAAAGGGGCUUUGUAGAGUGUGACCCCACUACAGCCGAGGUUGGGAGCAGCAGGAGGCUACAGCCUUACCCCCCCACAGUCCCCGCAUCCCCACACCCCGCAUCCCCCUGUCUGAAGGCCCCGCCUGUCAUGCUCUUUUGCUUGGGUAGCCAGUGGUGCUUCCAGUUGUCCCUGGGACUGGUCUCUUGUCCUUUCUCCCAUGUGAUAUUUAAUUGUUCUGAAUGUAGACCAAACACAUGUGUGUUAUAAAAUCCAGACGCUCAGACAAGACAGAGAACAUAAAAAGACCUAUUCCCCAUCUCCCCCGAGGUGGGCUCUUAGAACCUUCCUGCCUCUCCUCCCAGAGGUCCCUACACUUCUCAGAAGUGUGAAUUUUUUUUUUUUUUAAUCAGAAGGGGAUUGAUUUUACAAUGUACUCUGCUUUGUGACCUGCUUUUCCACUUCACCAGGGAUCAUAAACACUUUCCAUGGAUACAUCUCUGCAGUUUGGGGAACUGUGGAGCUUCUCAUUGUGUGCACGAGGUAAAACUUACUUAGCUAAGCAGCCUCUGUGCUGCACAGAGCUUUUCACGGCCACACAUGAAGCUGGGAGGAGGUGUAGCCUGGUCUCUGUGCGUUUCCAUGUGAUUUCCACAGGAGAGCUGCCAGAAGUGGAGUCUGCCCUGUGGGAUGGCCUGACCUGUGUGCUUCCUUCCUGCAGUGAGGGUCCAGCUCCUCUCGCUCUGGCCAACACGCAACAGAAUCCUUUUCAUUUAAAAAUGAACAUUUAUUUUUUAGUUGUGUGCUCAGUAUAGGGUAUUUGGAAAAUAAACAAAUAUAAAAAUUUAUAUUAAAAAUGAAAUAGUCACAAAAAAUACUCACAUAUAUUUCUAUUAAAUAUACUUAUAUAUUGAUAGUUAUUUAAAAUCAUUUCUAUAUUGUCAGUUACCAUACUGCCACUUUGAGUAGUUAACCACUGUUGAGUGUAUAUUUAAAAAUAUGUAGUAUAUAUAUAUAAUUUUAUAUUUAAUUGGGAUUAUGCCCCAUGUACUCUUUUAUAUUUUUUUUACUACAUGAGUGUACAAUUAUUUUUCCAUAUCAUUAAAUACUUUCAAAAAUGUAGAUUUUGACUUCUGCACAGUGGCGUGCCUUAUGGUUGAUUUUAAGCCAGUUGCCUGGGGAGAGUCCAAGCUGUUGUCUCAUGAGUGUUUCCUUUUUGUGACCAGCGUACUUCACUUAGUAUAAUGUCCUCAUGGUCUGCCUGUGUUGAGCUGGUGUCAGAAUCCUUCCUUCUAGAAGGUGAAUGAUGUUCCAUUCUGUGAGUAUACACCACGUGUUGACUUAGUUUGUGGCCUAGUAUGUGGUCCAUCCUGGAAAAGCUCCCGUGGGCACCUCAGAAGAAGGUGCAUGCUGCUGUUGGCAGGCAGGGUGCCUGAGCAUGUCCACUGGGUCUGGCCGGCUGACGUGGCAGGUUCUGUUUUCUUACCUUCUGUCUGUCCAUUCCUGACUAAGUGUGGAACAAUUGUUACAGAAUUCUCGACUUCUCCCUUAAAUUCUGUCUGGAUUUGGUUCACAUAUUUUGAUGGUCUGUUAUCAGGUAUGUAAAUGUUUUCACCUGUCACAUCUUGCUAAACCUUUUAUUAAUAUAGAAAAUCCUUAGUCUGUUGCACUCUUUUUUGAUUUAAAGUGUAUUUUCUCAGAUAUUAGUGUAGCUACCCCUUUCUCUUUUGGUCACUAUUUAUGUGAAAUAUCUUUUUUCGUCCUUUCACUUUGAUUUACUGAAUGGUCUCUCACAGACAGCAGGUAGUUGGACCGUGUUUUUCACACUCCUCUGCCAGUCCCUGUCCUUUCACUGGAGAGGGCAUCCACCUUUGUUGAGAUCAGCGACCGUCUGGUGUCACUUUGUUCCACCUGCAGGACUUCCUUGAGCGUUUCUAGCAGUGUGCUCCCCUAGCCCUUGUUUACCUAGGAGUCUCUCAGGUGCUCCUCUCUCGGGAAGGACAGCUUUGCCAGACACAGGUUCUUGGCCAACAGAGUGUUUCUUCCAGUACUCUGAAUAUAUCGGCCCACUCGCUGCAUUUUGGGCCAUGGAUGUUUCUGAUGAGCAAUCUCCUGAUCACCCACCGAGGAUUCCUUCUAUGUUCCUGCACGUGAGAGCAGGUGUCAGUCCUGGUGACGCUGAGCGCUGUGCUGUCUGUGAAGAUCCAUUUGCACAUUGUUAAUCUUGCGUUCAGUUGGUGAACCCUGGGUCGGUUCCACUUUUUGGCGAUUCUGAAUAAUGCUGCUAUAAACACUGCAUAGAGAUUUUGGGUAGACAUUCUCAUUUUCCUUGGCCACCAGGUCACCGGGCAGCUCCGAGGAGCUGGUCAUGGCUGUUUUCCAAGGCAGCCUCACCAGCACAGAGGUUCCCUGCAUCCUCAUCAGCGUUGCCAGUGUUUGUCCCUUGAUGAUAGCUGUCCUACAGCGGGUGAAGCCAGCCUCACUUAUUCGCAGUUGCCUAAUGACGAGUGAUAUUGGGCAGUUUUUCAUGUGCUUAUUGCUUUUUGUAUAUCUUGUUUGGAGAGAUAUCUAUUCAAACCCUUUGCCUGUUUUAAAAUUGGAAUAUUUGUCUUUUUACUCUUUGAGUUGUAAUAGUUCUUUGUGUGUUCCAGUUUUGCACAGAUACAUGGUUGUAAAUAUUUUA
Molecule: long non-coding RNA, 5391 nt
Organism: Marmota monax (woodchuck)
Lineage: Eukaryota; Metazoa; Chordata; Mammalia; Rodentia; Sciuridae
Exons: 2
Source: RefSeq, a predicted model, not a curated record